Telopea speciosissima is the source of this 138-nucleotide long non-coding RNA. RefSeq lists it as uncharacterized. The record is from RefSeq and is a predicted model, not a curated record. NCBI's taxonomy places the organism in Eukaryota, Viridiplantae, Streptophyta, Magnoliopsida, Proteales, Proteaceae. The transcript has 4 exons.
CUGUUUCAGUGAAAUGGAAGUGGUGUUCAGUGUACCCUACUGUAUCGAAAAGAAUGCAUUUCAUUUAAAGUGAGAUGUUCCAGAGAAAAGAAAAAGAACGUGGGUAAGAAUCGAUGAGGAAUCCAGGGAAUCGCGAAG